This 499-nucleotide ribosomal RNA is filed under the name uncultured bacterium. RNAcentral describes it as "bacterial SSU rRNA". It matches the Rfam family "Bacterial small subunit ribosomal RNA", at positions 36 to 524 of the family's 1533-position model. The record is from RNAcentral.
UAACCUGCGGCGGCUUACCAUGCNAGUCGAACGGUAGCAGGAGAAAGCUUGCUUUCUUGCUGACGAGUGGCGGACGGGUGAGUAAUGCUUGGGAAUCUGGCUUAUGGAGGGGGAUAACUACUGGAAACGGUAGCUAAUACCGCGUAAUAUCGGAAGAUUAAAGGGUGGGACCGAAAGGCCACCUGCCAUAAGAUGAGCCCAAGUGGGAUUAGGUAGUUGGUGGGGUAAAGGCCUACCAAGCCGACGAUCUCUAGCUGGUCUGAGAGGAUGACCAGCCACACUGGAACUGAGACACGGUCCAGACUCCUACGGGAGGCAGCAGUGGGGAAUAUUGCACAAUGGGGGGAACCCUGAUGCAGCCAUGCCGCGUGAAUGAAGAAGGCCUUCGGGUUGUAAAGUUCUUUCGGUGAUGAGGAAGGUAUCAAAUUUAAUAGAUUUGGUAAUUGACGUUAGUCACAGAAGAAGCACCGGCUAACUCCGUGCCAGCAGCCGCGGUAAU